UGACCUCAAAUCAGGUAGGACUACCCGCUGAACUUAAGCAUAUCAAUAAGCGGAGGAAAAGAAACUAACAAGGAUUCCCCUAGUAACUGCGAGUGAAGCGGGAAAAGCUCAAAUUUAAAAUCUGGCGGUCUUGCGGCCGUCCGAGUUGUAAUCUGGAGAAGCGUCUAUCCGCGCCGGACCGUGUACAAGUCUUCUGGAAGGGAGCGUCGUAGAGGGUGAGAAUCCCGUCUUUGACACGGACAACCGGUGCUUUUGUGAUGCGCUCUCGAAGAGUCGAGU
This 279-nucleotide ribosomal RNA is filed under the name Piloderma sp. B22. RNAcentral's name for it is "partial 28S ribosomal RNA". It matches the Rfam family "Eukaryotic large subunit ribosomal RNA", at positions 1 to 270 of the family's 3401-position model. The record is from RNAcentral. Lineage: Eukaryota; Fungi; Basidiomycota; Agaricomycetes; Atheliales; Atheliaceae.